AAGGGUUUGGGGAGCCCGGAGGUGGAAAAAAAGAAAAAAAAAAAACUUGUUUUUCUUUUCUACUUUCAUUUUCCUGAAACACGGGAGAAAGUCCCGAAGUGUUGGGAGGAGACGGCGGAACUGAAAGCAUCGGGCUGAGAGCGAGUUUCUUUGUUCUUCACCGUGACAAGCAGAGCUUUCUUCCUUAUUGUCACUGUUUGGCUUCGUAAGCGGAAUCUUCUUUCAUCUUUUCCCCUGCGAUGAGGAUGCUGCGACGAUGCUCUGGGAGAAGCAGCGAUUCACUCUGCUCCAGGAUUUAGCUCUGCCCUCAGCUGAGCCACAGAUGCUGCGGAGAGGUUGCCAGGGAUGCAGACACAAUCCUACCUCCAGGUUUUUGCUGCAUCCCCGCUGCCGAGCGAGAUAUGGAUCAUAGCCGGGAUUAUCGCCCAUCCGACUGGGAGGAAGGGAUGCUGAGAUGUCGGGUUGCAAGGGAGAUGGAUCUGGGCGCCAGGUUUUCGUGCCAUCUCGGUGCCGUGGGGUGGGAGUGGGGUGUGGGGACCCCCCCAGUGAUGCGGGGUGCGGGAUUUUUCAGUUCUGGUGCCGCUGCUGUGCUCACGGUGAGGUCUCUGUGGCGCAAUGGACGAGCGCGCUGGACUUCUAAUCCAGAGGUUCCGGGUUCGAGUCCCGGCAGAGAUGAUCUCCAGGCAGGUGUCUCUUUUAUUUUACGUGUAUUCCUCCAUAAAUCCCCAUCCUGCUCCUUUACGACACCCCAGAAGGCUUCAGGCAGGAGAUGAUGACUUUUCAUGGCGGCGUCUCGGCCGCUGACGCUCGCAGUGCUCGCGUGCUCCCCAUCCAAGUUCUGCUUGUUGGACCUGUCUGAUGCUUUAAGAAAACUGCUGUGUUUCCAGUAGAAAUCCGGUGGUCAGGCAGUGGUUUGGAACCUUGUGUUGGUAUUUCGUUUGAGAAGUGUGGCUUGUCUUUCAAAUAUAUGGACAAAGGAAAAACAA
Centrocercus urophasianus (Greater sage-grouse) is the source of this 986-nucleotide long non-coding RNA. RefSeq lists it as uncharacterized. The record is from RefSeq and is a predicted model, not a curated record. Lineage: Eukaryota; Metazoa; Chordata; Aves; Galliformes; Phasianidae. The transcript has 3 exons.